Long non-coding RNA from Lolium rigidum, 318 nucleotides. RefSeq lists it as uncharacterized. The transcript has 3 exons. The record is from RefSeq and is a predicted model, not a curated record. NCBI's taxonomy places the organism in Eukaryota, Viridiplantae, Streptophyta, Magnoliopsida, Poales, Poaceae.
CCCAGGCUGCUCGAAUUUUGCCUCGCAAUGUCCGCAGUACCGUCGCGGUAAAUCGUCGAUUGCGCAACGGCGCCAUCUUCAUCUGUGAGUACGUCCGCGGGACAGUUUUCCGGCGAGCGAUUUCGAGCGAACCAGUGCACUUCAACGACCGUCACCAAUUUCGCCUCGUGAUUUCGAGUGGAUUCAUUUGCUUCAUCAUCGGCAGGAAUCGUAGGAGGCUCGACGUCGACCACAGCGACUAUUUCCAGUAACCUCCGUCUAAUUGUGGUUGUGCUGAUUGCAACGAGUGUUUCUGCGAAGAGUGUACAAACUCGUCCU